UUCCAUAUAGGCAUGUACUAAGUAAUCGAGGAAAAGAUACUAAUCUCCGAAUUCCCCUAGUAAGCGGCGAUCGAUGCGGGCAAAGCCAUUUGGAAAGCCAGCUUGACGACGUAGUAGCUUGAGCAGCCUCAGCUGUCAGUCUGCGAAAGCAGCUUGGAUAUGUCCACCGUGGCACGGUGAAGAGUGCCGUUCAUCCUCAGUCAGAGCAGUUGAUAAGUCGCCGUUUCAGUCGAGUCGCAUUAAAUUGGGAAAGAAUGGUCUAAAAGGGUGGUAAAUCUCCAUAGAGGGCUAAUAUAUUUGGUAUGAAACCGAUAGCGCACAAGUACCCUGAGGGAUAGCUGGAGAGCACUUUGAGAGGAGGCCGACAAGCACAUGAUACGGUUACGAGUGAAGCGCAUUGCAUAGAGUUGAUGGGUGUUUGUGCUUUCAGCCGGAGAUAUUUUUUUUGGCGGACUGGUGCAGACACUUACCCGUAGUGAGUUAUUGUUUGCCGUACCACGGGUGUGACGAGGACUGUGGCAUCCCGUAUAUUGGGUGAGGACGAUGGGGCAGCGGUGCGAUACGCCCAGUCUUGAAACACGAUUCAAGGAGUCUAGCGGUGCUAGGAGUAGAAGGGCCGUUUAAUCGCAGUAGGGGCAGAGAAAGUGAAUUACCAUACGAAAUUGUGCUAAUUUGAGGGGGCAUGAGGUCGUUGACCAGAAAGUCCCACCUGGAGCAGUCCGCUAGGACCCGAAAGAUGGUGAGCCAAGAACGAGUAGGGGGAAACCGUAAGAAACUGUGCUGCAGAAUAGAAUUGGUGGGGAGAAAGAACAAACUCCCAUCAACUGGGUGCAGUGGGGAUAGAUUGAUACAGCCUCAUGGUAGUGUCUUCCCCCCGAAGUUUUUCUCUUCACAUUUCCCUCACAGGACGUUGUUUUUUUCGGUUUAGUGACAGAUUAGAGCAUUUGGGGGCGUGCACCCCUCUGGCGAUUCUCAUACUCUAAAAGCGCAAGCUGGCGCCGCUGGUUAAUUGAGCAACUUUAGCGAGAGAAAACGUCAGCCCCUUGGGCCACUUUUGGUAAGCAGAACAGGCGAUGCGGGAUGAACCGCAAGCGCAGUUAAGGCGAAAAAUAGUCCGCUCAUAGAUCCCACAAAAGGCGUUGCUUCAUCGAGACAGCAGACGGUGUCAUGGAAGUUCGGAUUCCGCUUAGGAAGUGGAACACUCACCUGCCGAAUGAGGUAGCCCUGAAAAUGGAUGACGCUUAAGCGGGCAGCCGAUACUACGCCGUCGAUUUUAGUGAAAAACAAAUCGAUGAGUAGGGGGGCGUGGUGGUCGUGUCGAAGCAUUGCGUGCGAACGCGUGUGAAACGGCCACUAGUGCAGAUCUUGGUGGUAGUAGCAAAUAUUCAAGUGAGAACCUUGAAGGGCGAAGCGGGGAAGGGUUCCAUGCGAACAUUGAUUGGGCAUGGGUGAGUCGUCCCUAAGCCGAGUGGCCAUUGCUUACUCAGGCGGCGAAAGGGAAGCGGGUUGAAAUUCCCGCACACGGAUGUGGAACAAGGCGGUGACGCAAAUUACUGGGGCGGUGACGUUGGCAGUGGCGCUGGGCAGAGUUUUCUUUUCUGUUUAACCGCCUGACGCUUGCUCUGUGGAAUCCGAUUGUCGGGAGAAACAGGCAAGGCACGGGUAGAGCGCCGGGCUUUUUCCGGCGUCCAGCUCGCCGCUGACGACCCUUGAAAAACUGUCCUCAGGUAUUAAAAAUCCACGCCGUGGCGUACCGAUAACCGCAUCAGGUCCCCAAGGUGAACAGCCUCUGCUCGAUAUGAAAAAUGCAGGUAAGGGAAGUCGGCAAAUUAGACCCGUAACUUUGGGAAAAGGGUUGGCUCUAGUGCUGCGUGAGGCCUGGUCGGUGGCUGUGCUGUUGUUUGGUGGCGAACGUUGCCUUGAGCGUUUUUCGCAAGGAGGAUGUUCGGCAAUGUAGCUCUGGACAACCGCGGCCGGCGACGCUCACAGCAUGCAGCAAACUAGAACUGCAACGGGCAAGGGGAAUCCGACUGUUUAAUUAAAACAAGCAUUGCGAGGCCGGGGACGGUGAUUACGCAAUGUGAUUUCUGCUCAGUGCUCUGAAUGUCAAAGUGAAGAGAUUCAAUCAAGCGCGGGUAAACAGCGGGAGUAACUAUGACUCUCUUAAGGUAGCCAAAUGCCUCGUCAUCUAAUUAGUGACGCGCAUGAAUGGAUUAACGAGAUUCCUACUGUCCCUAUCUGCUUCUAGCGAAACCACAGCCAGGGGAACGGGCCUGGAAAAAUCGGCGGGGAAAGAAGACCCUGUUGAGCUUGACUCUAUUCUAAUUUUGUGGAGCAAGUUGGGAGGUGUAGCAUAGGUGGGAGACUUUACGUCGCCAGUGAAAUACCACUACUCCCAAUCUUGCUUUACUUACUAGGCAGGUGUGGAUGGGGUCAGUUUUCUGAUUCUUUUUUUGGAGCCAAGCCGGUUUUUUCUUCGGGAAAGACCAUAGGUGACCACCGCCUAGGACAGAUUUAGGAGGGGAGUUUGGCUGGGGCGGUACAUCUUCUACAAGACAACGAAGGUGUCCUAAGAUCAGCUCAGUGAGAACAGAAAUCUCACGUAGCGCAAAAGGGUAAAAGCUGGUUUGAUUUCGAUUUUCAGUGCGAGUCGAAAACGCGAAAGCGUGGCCUAUCGAUCCUUUCACGAUUCGAGAUUUGAAGCGAGAGGUGUCAGAAAAGUUACCACAGGGAUAACUGGCUUGUGGCGGCCAAGCGUUCAUAGCGACGUCGCUUUUUGAUCCUUCGAUGUCGGUCUUUUCCUAUCAA
This 2808-nucleotide ribosomal RNA is filed under the name Gracilariopsis lemaneiformis. RNAcentral describes it as "eukaryotic LSU rRNA". It matches the Rfam family "Eukaryotic large subunit ribosomal RNA", at positions 28 to 2900 of the family's 3401-position model. Lineage: Eukaryota; Rhodophyta; Florideophyceae; Gracilariales; Gracilariaceae. The record is from RNAcentral.